This is a long non-coding RNA of Mytilus californianus (California mussel), 4304 nucleotides long. RefSeq lists it as uncharacterized. The record is from RefSeq and is a predicted model, not a curated record. NCBI's taxonomy places the organism in Eukaryota, Metazoa, Mollusca, Bivalvia, Mytilida, Mytilidae. The transcript has 2 exons.
UUCAUAUUCGCUAAUUAGGAGAUAUCCUUUUCUUGCAAAGUAUUUUGAGCCACACUUGAUCAGUUAAAAUUAAUUAACUAUUACAGUGCUGCAUGAAUCUACUUCUAUAUCUUUAUUAUCAAAGUCUAUAUAAACUAUACGUACUUGAAUAUUAUCAAAUUUCAUUUUCAUUUUGCAUAUUUUAUUGAAAUAUUGGUAAGGUUUUGGUUUUUUUUUUUAUUUCUAGGAGGAUCACCAUGGUGUAUUACAGAUUGAGAUUCCAAAACACAGAUCUUCAGUAUCGGAUAUAUUUGUACAUCUGGAACAAAUAAAACAUCAAUACAACAUCAUGCAUUACUCCGUUUCACAAACAACGCUUGACAAUGUGUUUUUGAAUUUUGUACGGGAUCAAAAUGAUGGUGUAGUACCAGAAAUAUAUGAAUCAAGUUCCGAAGGAAGUACCUCGGGAGACACGUGGAAUGAAGGUUCUUCAGAGGCCUUUACUAAUCCUCACUAUGCUUACAAUAAUGAUGGUUUUACAACAGAAAAAGACUCUCUUCCUGUCAGAUAUAAAGACUACAACAAAGAUGGUAGACAUAGUCCCCUUUAUGCUACAAAAAUGUGAUUUUUAUUCAGUGCAAAGCCAAAUAAAAAUGUUUUUUUCAGUGACAUGGUUUCAAAAAAGUUUUUUGUAUGAAAUUUACAAACAAUUUUGCUAGCAAUUUAGUUUCAUAAGAGGGCAUUUAAAGAUAUUUUUCUUCUUUGAAAUGUGAUUUUACCAAAGAAAUAAGAAUAUAAAUUGUAACAGUCAAACAUUAUACAAUGUGGUAAAAAUAAUCCAUUAAAAUACAGUAAAACACAUGCCAACCAAACUUUCAUAAUUCAAAAUCUAUGUUUUUGAUAUCAGGACAAAGAAUGAGUUUAAUUUGUGUAAACUGAAUUGUCUAUUUUAGAAUAUUAUGCAUUCUGGGUAAUAUAUUUGAAAGCCUUCACAAAACAUUAUGGUUGGUUAUAAAUGUCCUAAACAUUGGAAAUUUAGCCAAUGACGGGAUGUUAUUCUCAUUUUGGGGUACAAAUAAUGAAAUUACCCAUAAUCCUUUACAUUCUGAUAUAAUUUAUCCCUGUCUAAUCAAAACAAAACCUCUUGUCAUGAAGGGUUUCAGUUGAGCAAGUUUAAUGGUAACAAUCGGUAAAUAACUGUACAUUGAAAAUUGAACUAAAUAUUUCCUAACUAACAAAUAUAAAUAUAUUUUUUUUCAAGGUUUCCAAUGAGAUUGAGCUUUGAGUGUCAGUUAGCUAACAUGUUAUAGACCAGUGAACUUUUAACUAAACUAAAUUUAUUUUUUAUUUACAUAUAAAUAAAUGAUAUCUAACUAAAAUUAAGAUUUCCUGACUUUCUUGUAUUAUCCACAAAUUUCAGCCAUAAAAAUCUGACAACUGAAAAUGAGAAAUUAUCUACAUAAAUGGUGUUACUGUGGUUAAAUUAUAUAUUAACUUAUAUUAUUUAACCAUAUGCUAUAGAUAUAAGGAGAAUCUUUGUUUUUAUUUUAUUAUACUUCUUAAUUUGACCAUUGUUUUGUUCAUGACGGAAUUUUUUUAUGCAGUUUUGUGCUUGUUUUUUACUUGACUUGUAGCAUGAGAUUAUAAUAUAUAUAUUUAUCUAUGUUUUUCUAUUAAAAGUAAACAAUGCAAGUGAACUUUUGUUUUAUACACUUUUUAUCAAUGCAAUACAUGAAAUAUCUAUUUAUGGUUGUUGUUUUUUUGUCUUCACUAAAUAUAAAUAAGGAUAAGAAAAACAUUUUGUUUUCUAGUAUAUUUCUAUUUUCAAUUUAGGCCAUACUUAAAAUGUUUCUAGAUUUUCCACGGACCUGCACAAUUUUCAUUAUUCACUUUUUUUACCAUUUGAUACAAAAAACCUGGGAAACAGUUUUUUAUACAAGAAACAAAAACACAAUAAAAUGUAAAAUUUGGCGAACUGCUCCACAUUUAAUCUGUUAAUAACACAGAUGUGUGUAUUAACAGAUUAAAAGUGUGGGUAAAGAAAAGGGCUUUACAAGCACGGAGUGUUUUUAAUAACCAAAUAUUUUGUCUUUUUAAAGCCUCCAUAGGAUAGUUCAUAUCAAUGCAAGAUUAUUUUUUAUUUUUUGAAAUAUUUAUAUUUCCUUGUUAUUGUUGGUUGUUAUUGACAACAUGUCUUUUUUUUUAUUCCAAUGCAAAAUGUCAGUCUGGUGCAAAAUAACUUAUAUUUUAAAUAUAUGUUAAUUUCUGUUUAUUAUAUCGUGUAUGUGUUAUUGAUAUUUCAUUGCAUUAGAAAUAUAUAACAAGUUAUCUAUGUUUAAAAAUAAAAGUAGAUUUCUUAAAUUUAUAUCGUAGAAAGCCUAGUUUUGUACUCUAAUAAACUUAGUAUGCAUACAAAGAGACCAUUCUUUAAAGAGAUUUCAUAGAAGAGUUGUGAGCUUUCAAUAUUAGUGUAUCUUUUUUAUGCUUAAUAGGCGACCAUUAUUGAAAGAGAUUUCAAAUCAGAAUUGCUAGCUUUAAAAAUAUCAUAUAUACUUUUUUGUGUGCAAUAAAAGAAUUUGACAUUCCACAGCUUUACAAUGACAGACUUUAUUUUUUUGCAAAUUAACUCACAUAAAUAACAUUUGAUCUGUUGAUCUGUGACAUCCAACUUCCUCUCUUGUUUGUGACAGAAAUUUAAUGGGGAGGGGGGGGGGGGGGGAAUAUUUCACAUUAUUAAGUACAAAGUUGAACGUUCAUCUACUGCAAGGGGUAAACCAUUGAAUCUAGUAACAGACGAAAUUAAUGGGAAAACAAUAUCCUUCAUAUAAUUAUGUACAAAGUUGAAAUUCAUAUAUUUAACAUGUUUAAGGGGUAAACUAUUGUAUUAGUAACAGACAAAAUUAAUGGGAAAAUAUCUAGUUCCUGUAAUAGGAGAAAACUAGAAAUACACAUAUUGAAAGGGUAAGCUAUCAGGGAGCUACCAUUUGAUUUUUAGGGGAGGGGGGGCUAGGAUGAAAUUUGAAAAUAAAAGGCAGGACAGGAGUUUUGAGUAAAAAAAAAAGGCAGGAUGAGCAACUUGGCAAAAAAAAAGGCAGGAUAAACUAAUAAUAAAAAAAUGCAGGACCAAAAAAAGAGUGAAAAUUAAAAAGGCAGGACAGAGAUAACAACUAAAAGAAAAUGCAGGACAAAAUUUUUCCUCCCCCCCUCCCAUAAAAAUCAAAUGGUAACUCCCGUUUGUCCUCAUCCUUGACACAUAAUCAAAUAUAACCAAGAAUUUUAUCAUACUUCAUCAUCCAUUUUGUCUCAAAGUCUGUGAUAAUAUUGUUCAUGAUACAUAAUUUGUUAUGAAAUACUGUUUAACACUUAGCAGAUUAAUUAUUCAAUUUGAUAUAACAUUUUAAUUUAACCAUAAUAUAUACGUAUAUUUUCAACUUCCCAAAUAUUUUAAUCUCCAGCUUACUGGGAGGAAGGAUAUAGCAAAAGUCUGUUCCUCCGUCCUUUUAAAAUUUCUUGUUUACACAAUAAUUUGAGUAAAACUGACUGCAAAUAAAAUUAUUUUGAAAGAACAUUAAAUGAAAGUUAUUAGUCAAAUAUUUUGGUGGAAAAUCCUAGCUUGGAACUGAAAACUUUUUAUUAGAAUUUGCUGCAUUUCAAGUUUUUUUUGUAUGACUGCUGUAAAUCUGUAUUCGAUGCAUAUUUAUGUUUUUGGCAGUUUAUUUUACUUUGAGUCUUUUUUAUUCUGUAUGUUUAAUUAUUUUUGUGAAAUUGUUAAAGUUUAACCUGUUAUUUCAUUCUGAUUUUAAGCAUUUUGAAAGAGGAAAUACCUUUUAUUAAAGAUAUACUCAUUUAUUAUGUAAAUACUCAGACUUAAAAAAAAUGUACAAGGUUUUUUUUUCAAUCGCUUCCAUUCUUAAAUACCCAAAUAUUUUAAGAGAUAAACAUGUUAAAGUAAGAACUUUCAGUCAGCUGAAAUAAUAGUGAUCUAUAAUUACUUUCAUUCACAUCAUUUGGACUCAUUGGCAAUCAUACCAUAUUUCCAUAUUUUUAUAUUAUGUAUCUAUGAGUACAUGUGUAUCUUUGUGGUUGUGGUGGUCAAAUAUAUUGUCAUUCUAUCUUGAUCACUAAACAAACUCUCAUGAAACAUUCAGCAUUUGUCAUUGCAUAUCAUUGUAUUUCUCAAUGCUUUCAUCAACCCAUAGAGUUUCAAGAUUGAAAUGUUUAUAUUUGAUUUGUUUUUUAUACAAUCUGACCAUAUUGUUUGAUAGAUGCUUAUAUUAUAUUAGUUACUUUAUAUAUUUAUAAAUAAAUAAAUGACUUUCAAUAUA